This 123-nucleotide small RNA is filed under the name Marmota monax (woodchuck). The record is from RNAcentral. Lineage: Eukaryota; Metazoa; Chordata; Mammalia; Rodentia; Sciuridae.
GCUGAGCACGGUGACACAUGCCUAUAAUCCCAGCAACUCUGGAGGCUGAGGCAGGAGAAUCACCAGUUCUUAGGGCCUCAGGAAAAUAGAGGCCCUAAGCAACUCAGUAAGACCCUGUCUCUA